ACAGGGGUAAAAUAGGAAGUUAAAAAAGAAAAUUUAAAAACCUCACAAAACCUCCUUUUCCCUUGCAUGGUGUUAGGCUGAGGGAGAUUACAAGACGGCCUUUUCGCCAUCAGCUCUGUAAAUUCUCUUUCGCGGGCAAUUCUAAGCUACACUCUACCUAUCGACACAACCCCGCUAAUCCUAGUUGCUUUGAGUUUCAGAUACUUCUGUGAAGGUUCUGUGAUCUCGUUGUCAGUGGAAAAUGGGUUGGAAACUGCUGAAAAACUAAUUAGGCACUGGAAAGUACUAAGAGGUGAUAAUGUUAAAAAACACAUCAAGGCAGGUGAAGGUCAUGAAUUUGGGAUCUUUACAGUUGAAACACCAUUUCAUGCCUCAAAUGUUCAAGUUCUUGAUCCACUCACUGGGUAUGGUCGGGAUUAAAGUUUUAAUCACUGACAUUUAGCAAUUUAUCUUUCUUUCGUUUUAUGUUUGAAGUCAGAUUUCAAAACUAUGGAGGAAACCUUGCGAAGUGGGAAUUAGAUAUCUAGAAGAUGGUCCAAAGUGAGAGUUUGUAGAGGCUAAGGGGCAUCUCGGUCUGUAAUUUGUCGUCCUCAGAUUUUGAAGAUUAGGACAACUCCAAGACCUACAGUAGGCAUGUUGGGAGGCAUGAUAGACCUUAGCCUUUAGAUAUUUGGCGUAAGCAUAGUAGAUCUAGUUUAUAACCUUGCACGGGUAAUGAUGAAGGGAUAUACAACUAUCUAUUAAUAAAUAU
Molecule: long non-coding RNA, 751 nt
Organism: Hevea brasiliensis (rubber tree)
Lineage: Eukaryota; Viridiplantae; Streptophyta; Magnoliopsida; Malpighiales; Euphorbiaceae
Exons: 3
Source: RefSeq, a predicted model, not a curated record